RNAcentral lists this ribosomal RNA (497 nucleotides) under uncultured bacterium. RNAcentral describes it as "partial 16S ribosomal RNA". It matches the Rfam family "Bacterial small subunit ribosomal RNA", at positions 28 to 507 of the family's 1533-position model. The record is from RNAcentral.
GAUGAACGCUGGCGGCGUGCCUAAUACAUGCAAGUCGAGCGAACAGAUGAGGAGCUUGCUCCUCUGACGUUAGCGGCGGACGGGUGAGUAACACGUGGAUAACCUACCUAUAAGACUGGGAUAACUUCGGGAAACCGGAGCUAAUACCGGAUAAUAUAUUGAACCGCAUGGUUCAAUAGUGAAAGACGGUUUUGCUGUCACUUAUAGAUGGAUCCGCGCCGCAUUAGCUAGUUGGUAAGGUAACGGCUUACCAAGGCAACGAUGCGUAGCCGACCUGAGAGGGUGAUCGGCCACACUGGAACUGAGACACGGUCCAGACUCCUACGGGAGGCAGCAGUAGGGAAUCUUCCGCAGUGGGCGAAAGCCUGACGGAGCAACGCCGCGUGAGUGAUGAAGGUCUUCGGAUCGUAAAACUCUGUUAUUAGGGAAGAACAAAUGUGUAAGUAACUAUGCACGUCUUGACGGUACCUAAUCAGAAAGCCACGGCUAACUACGUG